RNAcentral lists this ribosomal RNA (482 nucleotides) under uncultured bacterium. RNAcentral describes it as "partial 16S ribosomal RNA". It matches the Rfam family "Bacterial small subunit ribosomal RNA", at positions 29 to 507 of the family's 1533-position model. The record is from RNAcentral.
ACGAACGCUGGCGGCGUGCUUAACCCAUGCCAGUCGCACGCUGAAGCUCAGCUUUUGUUGGGUGGAUGAGUGGCGAACGGGUGAGUAACACGUGAGUAACCUGCCCCCUUCUUUGGGAUAACGCCCGGAAACGGGUGCUAAUACUGGAUAUUCACUGGUCUUCGCAUGGGGGUUGGUGGAAAGGGUUUUUCUGGUGGGGGAUGGGCUCGCGGCCUAUCAGCUUGUUGGUGGGGUGAUGGCCUACCAAGGCUUUGACGGGUAGCCGGCCUGAGAGGGUGACCGGUCACAUUGGGACUGAGAUACGGCCCAGACUCCUACGGGAGGCAGCAGUGGGGAAUAUUGCACAAUGGGCGCAAGCCUGAUGCAGCGACGCCGCGUGAGGGAUGGAGGCCUUCGGGUUGUGAACCUCUUUCGCUCAUGGUCAAGCCGCAACAAUGGUUGUGGUGAGGGUAGUGGGUAAAGAAGCGCCGGCUAACUACGUG